CACACAACCACAACUACAACACCAACAGUCUGAUCUGAAAAGAACACAAUGAUCAUUUUCUUCUGUUUAAUGUUGAAGGUGAUGCUGGUUUCAGGUACUUCAGUCCAACAGAAUCCACCUCAUAUUUACAAGAAACAGGGAGAAAAAGCUGAAAUUACCUGUUCACAUCAAAACAACCUCUAUGACCGGAUCCUCUGGUACAAACAAUCAAAGAACAAUGAGCUGAAGCUCCUGGGAUAUAUGGACUAUAAAACUCCAAACCCUGAACCUGGAGUGACUGUGCAGAUGAGUGGAGGUGCAAGUAAAGGUGAAACCUGCACAUUAACCACUGAAGAACUCAGCCUGAACAGCAGUGCAGUUUACUUCUGUGCUGCAAGCCAACACAGUGAUGUGAACUGCUGUGUCUCUGUACAAAAACCUCCCACAGCAUUGUUUUUUUCAUCUUUUAUCAGAACUCAUACUCUGCACCUGUACUAA
Non-coding RNA from Sphaeramia orbicularis (orbiculate cardinalfish), 477 nucleotides. The record is from the annotation of a RefSeq genome assembly. NCBI's taxonomy places the organism in Eukaryota, Metazoa, Chordata, Actinopteri, Kurtiformes, Apogonidae.